AAAUCAGUUGAGAUUUUUUUUAUGUGUGCACCGGUACAGUUUUGCGGAGAAGUGAAAGUUGCCAUGGAAUUUUGUCUUCUUCUAAAAACAAGUGUCUGAUACAUGUAGUUGCAGUUAGUCUUUGGAAGCUGUAGAAAUAACAAGAAAGAGGCUGACAUAGUGUUUUGGUAGGGAAAAGUUUGAAUAUGUACAUGUACAGUUGUUUGACCUGUCUUACCCUGUGGCAGUCCAAGAAGAUGUUACCAUUAUGAAAAAUGCAGGAGAACCUGAAGACAAUGGUUAGUGCAGAAGGGACAUAAAGUUAUGACAAAAGUAACAGAUAUAAAUAAG
Long non-coding RNA from Mercenaria mercenaria, 330 nucleotides. RefSeq lists it as uncharacterized. Lineage: Eukaryota; Metazoa; Mollusca; Bivalvia; Venerida; Veneridae. The record is from RefSeq and is a predicted model, not a curated record. The transcript has 4 exons.